CGCGUAGGCGGGGAUGCAAGUCAGAUGUGAAAUCUAUGGGCUUAACCCAUAAACUGCAUUUGAAACUGUAUCUCUUGAGUGCUGGAGAGGUAGAUGGAAUUCCUUGUGUAGCGGUGAAAUGCGUAGAUAUAAGGAAGAACACCAGUGGCGAAGGCGAUCUACUGGACAGUAACUGACGCUGAGGCGCGAAAGCGUGGGAGCAAACA
RNAcentral lists this ribosomal RNA (206 nucleotides) under uncultured bacterium. RNAcentral's name for it is "partial 16S ribosomal RNA". It matches the Rfam family "Bacterial small subunit ribosomal RNA", at positions 568 to 774 of the family's 1533-position model. The record is from RNAcentral.